RNAcentral lists this long non-coding RNA (5141 nucleotides) under Gossypium barbadense (sea-island cotton). RNAcentral's name for it is "long non-coding RNA (GBAR_LNC011463)". The record is from RNAcentral. Lineage: Eukaryota; Viridiplantae; Streptophyta; Magnoliopsida; Malvales; Malvaceae.
AAGGCUACUAACUUGGAUCACACGGCCGACCACACGCUCAUGUGCCAGCCCGUGUGUCACACACAACCGGUAGACACACCCAUGUGUCUAGGCUGUGCCGAAACUGUAGGGUAUACUGACUUUAAAUCAUAGGGUACCCAAGGGACACACAACCGUGUAACAUAACUAUGUGUCGCACACGGAUGAGACACACGCCCGUGUGAAUAAAAAUAGGCUAUUUGCAAAGCUAAAUUGCCACCCAUUUUGGACAUUCCUGCAAGCAUGAAACAAAGCACAUUUCAUAUCUCAAAGGCAGCCAAAAAUAUACUAAAUCAUGCACAAAUUGACCCAUGAUAUCAUCAUUCAUUCCCAUAUAAAAAUCCAAUUCAAACAUACCAAUUCAAGGUACAAAUUUUAUAUCAAAAGCACAUGAUUCAUACAUCAUAUUAAUCCAUUUCAAUUCAUAGCAUUACACAUCAUAUUAACUACCCAAAUUAAUCAUGAAACUUACCAAAAUUGACCAUUUCAUUUGGUCAUUCAAGAGCACAUCAAAACUUACCAAAAUUGAACACAAAACAUGUACCAAAAUUCAUUCAUAAUUUCAUCCAUAACCAAGCCAUAUCAUAUGGCUAGAUAUACACAUCUUAAAACACAUUCAAAGUUAUCUAGCCUAUACAUGCCAUACUUUGAUAUAUACAUUUUCAAAAGGUACCAAAAUUAAGUUUGAUAGUGUAAUGAUAAUCCUCGACAAUCCCCGAGCCUCCAAUAGUUUCGAUAUCUAUAAAACGGAUGAAAAACACACAAAGUAAGCUUUCAAAAGCUUAGUAAGUCAUAUACAAAUAAACUUAUCACAUAAAUAAUUUAAAUUCAAUUCAAUCAUAUAGAUCAUGGCAAAGCAUAACCACAUAUCUAUAAAUCUCAUAUAGCUCAUACAUAUUUCAUAUGUCUACAUAUGUUCAAAUACUAACAUUUUAUUCUUAAUUAUGAUAUACAUUUCCAACAUACUUGAGUCGAUACACAACCACAUAGUUACUCAUUUCUCGGAAUGUCCGUUGAACCGUUCAGAAUCAUUAAGGAUAUUCGGAUAGCUGGAAAAGCUCGUACAAUGCCAACAUCCCAGACGUGGUCUUACAUGUAAUCAAAUAUUGAUGCCAUUGUCCCAGAUAGGGUCUUACACGAAAUCAAAUACGAUUCCAAUGUCUCAGACAUGGUCUUAUAUGUAAAUCUCAAAUUAAUGCCAACGCCUCAGACGUGGUCUUACACGAAAUCACAUAUUGGAAAUCCUAUGUCAUGACAUAUGAAUCCUUACUAUUCUUAUGGUUCAUAAAGGACAUUUUCGGACGUCGUCACAUUGUCAGAAUUUUCUUGGAUUUCAUAUAUUCAGCUCUCAUAUCCAUCCACCACAAUUCAAAUCUCAUAUAAGCAAUAAUAAUUCAAUUUAACACAUUUAUUUGUAUAUCGACUUACCUCGUACGGAUUCGAACGAACAAAAUCAACUACUUGAUGACUUUCGACUUACUCCGAUCUAAAUCUGUUUUCUUUGGUUUUUGAUCUAAAUAAAUUCAAAUUUAACUUAUUCAAUCUCACAUUAAUUUAAAAUCAAUCCAUUUACACAUAUUUAGGACAUUUUACAAAUUAGUCCUCAUAUUUUCACGUUUUAACACUUUAGUCAUUAAUUCAUAAAAUCACAAAAUACACAAAAUUUCUUUAGACAUAUGCUUAGCCAAAUAUUCAUUUAGAUCAUACAAGCCCACAUAUUUUAUUUAUUUCUUAUUUUAGUCCCUCAAAAUCUUAUUUUCACAAUUUAGCCCAAAAUACUUAAAUUCAUCAAAAAUUUAAAGACAAAACAUAUGUAUCUGUCAUCAAGCUUCCAUAUUUCAUCAACUAACAUUAAAAAACUCUCUAAAUCAUCAAUAGCAUAACUCAAAAUCAUAAUUAAAUUUAGAAAUUGAGGCAUGGGCUUCAAAAAUUACAAAGCAACGAUCACAAAAACAAAUAAAUUAUCAAAAACAGAACAAAAACGAACCUUCAAUUGUGUUUAAGCAUGGUCGAACCCUAGAACUCUUUUCUUUUUCUUUUUCUUCUUUAAAUUUUGGCAAUAUGAACAUAAAAUGCCUAAUUUCAUGCCUUGUUUUAUUUUAUUACAUAAUAAUUCAUCAUUUACUAAAUUACCCUUUAUAAUUAAACAUAUAAUUCAUGAUAAUUAAGGCAAUUAAUGUCCACUCAAGCUUGAAAUAGUCUAUUCAGAACAUAAGAACCUCUCCUUUAAUAAGACAUAACAAAUAAACACACUUAAUAUAUAGCAUGUAACUUUUACAUUUUACGCGAUUAGGUCUUUUUUAACAAAUCAGCACACAAAUGAUAACAUUUUCAUACGUAACUUUCACAGAUAUCAAUUCACAUAUCGUAAGCACAGAAAAUAAUAUUAAAAUAUUUUUCUAACUCAAUUUUGUGGUACCAAAACCACUGUUUCGACUAGGGUCUAAAUCGGGCUAUUACAUUAUUUGUAAAAUGUUCUGAAAGUUCCGGUAAUACUCUAAAACCCUAUUCCAACGACGGAUACGUGUUAGGGGUGUUACAGGAGUAAUUUGUUUAGAGUAAAUAAUGGAGUGUUGAGCUUGAGUCUCCACUCAUCGGGUUAUUUGAGGCACUAUAAGGGAGCUUGUGGCUUCGACCUGCUCAAUUCGAAAGACUAUAUUUGAUUUGUGGGGGUUAAGAGAUCCGUUUAUCUAAUAUAUGAUCACAUGUUUACUUUUUUCCAUGGAUGUGUUAUGAUUGAUUGAUUUUGACUAUAAAAUUGAAUGUUUACGUGUUAAAAAAUGAUUUUACAUGCCAUGGAAAAAUGAAUCCUUAAUUCUUGAAAUAGUAUGUGAUGUUAUGGUGAAAUGUUAACAUGUUGUGACUAAAAAACUAAUGUUUAAUUGCUUUGAUUUAUGCAUGAUUGGGUGUAAAAUACUUGAUGUUUUUACUAUCAUGCACUGAGCUUUUUAACCUCACACUCUCACAUUUCGUCAGAGAAAUUUCAGGCUUAAAGAGUCAAGUAGUGAGUGCAAGGGCGAUCCAAGAAUAAGGCUCAGUAAUGGCUUAAGAAAUUUACUUUAGAGACUAUAUAAGGGCAUUGUGGUGCUUUUGGGACUAGUAUUAUUUUACUUGUAAUUGGCAUUGUACAUUAAAUUUUGGACUUUAAUUUUGGUGAUUUUAUAAUUGCUUUAAUACAUGAUUUUAUGUUUAAUUGAUGUUUGAUUUAUGAUAUGUUGAUGAGUGUUCAUACGGUUGUUGAUAACACAGUGUAUGAAGCAUGUAUUUUAUACUAAAAAUGUUUAAUUGAAGCUUACCAUGGAGUAGAUUGCUUGCGACAAAGGUAUGUAGCUUGUGUGAAUUAAUUGGUGUUUGCUAAGCAUGUAAUUGGGUGUUAAAUUUUGAUUAACUAUUACAUAUUUGUUUUAAAUAAAUUAAAUUGGAGAUGCGUGAAUGUUUAUUGUAAUUAAUUGUAGCUAUUUCAAAUUUAAUGGGCAAGUAAAAUAUGUAAAAUCGAGUAAUUAAAACGAAUUUUUGUUAAAAUAAGUGCAGUGGUUUGCACACGGGCGUGUGUCUUUUAACAUGGGCAUGUGAGUUUUUGGGGUUUGAUUUUUUAUUUUUGUAAUUUAGUAUUGUAUUUUGCUUAAUUUAUAAUUUAGUCCAAAAACUUGAUUAGAUUAAUUAAAGCCUUUAAUGAUAGGGAAACUUGGUAAUAUUUUAGAAUUAGACUUGUAACUAUUAAUAUUUGAUAAAAUCACUCUUUAUUUUUAAUUUUGAAAAUGUACUAAAACUUUAUAAAAGUUACGAUUUAGUCCCUAUUAAUAAAACUUGGAUUAGACAUAGUAAAUUAACUCGAAUUAAGCUGAAAUUUUUAGGUAUGCAUAAUUUAACUAAAAGAAGGUAAGUAAAAAUUUUAAAAAAAAUAAGGAUAGUUUAACCUUAGGUGAUAAAAUGACUAAAAUACUCUUAAAUUUAAAUAUUUAAAAAAAUUUUAAAAAUGAUUAACAAAUUACUUCCGCAUUAAUAAAUGAUAUUUAAUUAGUUAUAAAUGAGUGUUCUAAAGUUGGUGUGUGCAUCGACUGGUCGUUAGUUAGAGAGUCAUUUCGAUGGUUAAUGUAACGUUUUGAAUUUGAGCUUUUUCAUCCCGAUCGAGUUUGGAGUUUUACACUUCUAGGAAUAAGAUUACUCACGAGGUAUUUUCCACUCUAUUCCUAAUUUACUCACCUCUAUUUUGGGAUUUCUGUGCGAGUUGGAUACCCUUUUGUUGCAUCGUGUUCGUUCUGAGGCUUUUGCGCCGCUGUUCUGGAAGGCUCCUACUGAUUUGUGGGUCCGUCCUAACUUUGAUGCGGCUCUUUUUAUCAAUCUCCAGGCUGCAAGUGCAGGAGUAGUGGUUAGAAAUAACGAGGGACUGUUAUCAGGUCGACGUGCUUUUGGAAGGAGCAAAUACCUUGUCCUCUAUCAGCGGAGGCCCUGGCUUUUGCGCAGGCUAUCCGCUUUGCCCGAGAUCUAGGCUUUCGCUGGGUUGAAACCGAAGGCAACUCUGCGGUGCUUCUCUAAGCUACGGAAUUCGGCCACUGAUCGUUUGCCCCUGAGCGCAUUUGUCUGGGACGCAAAAAGGCUGGUGGUGGGCUUUGAACGAUUUAAAUGUCAACAUAUUAAGUGGGGAGGCUAUGUGGUGGGUCACAUGUUGGAGUGCAAAGGCCAUAUUCGAAAGCGAGAUGUCUUUUGGAUGUCGGCUGUGGAUGUUGGUCGUCGGGGACAUCUUUGAUCUUGAAGGUGAGCUCUCGGAUGGAGUUUUUUCUGGCCAGAUCUAUAUUUCUCGAUGGCAGGUUGUUGUGGCUUCAUCAUGUUCGUUGCUUGGUGUCAGAUCCAGUCGAUGCUGCUGCUCUUAUCGGACAUGCAUGCGUAGCUGGGAAAGACAAUGACUCUUUAGCUACUUCUGUUCUCUGUUCCCUUUUUUUUUUCUUUUUUUUGUGAUACUUUUAUGGCUCUUGGUUGUUUUGCUGGUUUGCUGGUUGUUAUUUUCUUUUGAUUUGUGGGGGAUGGGAUCGCAUUAAUGGGCGAAGCUCCCUAUGUGUUUUGUUUUGUCUCUUUAAAUUAAUGCACGUCCUCUUUAUUCAAUAAAAAUAUAACUAUUUAAUAUA